GAUCUUCUCCCUGCUGUGGGUUGUUUGCUCGUGGCAGCUCCACUCCACUAGGACAUGGGCAGUGAUGCAAAUCAGAGCAAAAUCUUGAAUUGAAAUCCUUCCCAGUGCUCCAGCCAAACACGAGCAGCUCCCACCGUGCACCUCUGGAGAUACUGCCCAACUGCAGCAGGAGGUGAAGACAUUUUCCAUGGGAAGACUGCAGGAAUCCAACAGCCUCACAAGCAAAGAGAUGCCUUAAGAUGCAUUCAAGGUGGGAUGUCAUGAAGAAAGGCAAAGGAACUGAAAGCAUCUUCCCCUCCUGCCUGGCAGGGCUGGACAUGGCUCCACUGUGGGAACCUGCUCCUGAUGUGGCUUAUGAAACACAAACUCACUGUAACUCAUCUGAAAAUGCGGCAAGAAGAAAACAUUCUCCAGCACGUCAGUUCCAUGGGGUGAUGCUCCUCUUCCCAGACAGAUGGUCUGAUUUUUGUGUGUCUGUGUGGAGCCAGGAGCUGGAAUUGAUGAUCCUUUUGGGUAUCCUCCAACUUGGGAUAUUCUAUAAUUCUUCCAGUCAAAUUGCCCAUGUUAAUCACAAAGAAUCUGCUUUUUCUUCCAUUGUGCCUGGAUAUUAUGCUUUUCUCUCCACAGGAGCUGAGUGUUGUACAGCAGUGGUGCUGAGGCUUCAUUCAUUCAGUCUCAGGGUAACAAGGGAGAUAUUUCUUUAGUUUGUGACAGCUUUGUAGCAUGAAUUAUCUCGUGUUUUACAAUGCUCUCUUGCAGUGUGCUGUGCAUGCACGCUAGCACUGAUAAUUUUUGGCUAACGGUGGUAUUCAAUCAUCAGAUAAAAACUAAUGAAGCAGAGGGCCAGAAGAUGUGAUGAUGAUGAGGGGGAGGAAUUCAGAGUAGUAGAGGGGGGCAGCCAUAAUCCAGGCAGGGCUAUUGAAUUGAUGUGAGUGAUAAUUAACAUUCUGAUUCAUUAAGCAAUGGCUUCAUUGAUGGGAUGAUUUCAGAGCUGGUGCCAAGCAAUAGGAAAUUUCUCCAGGGCUCAUCCUACCCACGUUGUGCUGGUGCAUGACAGAAGUUUUUUCCAACUUUAAUGAUUCUAUGAUUAAUAUAAAAUAAAAAUGGAAACAGAACUUAAAUAGGGCAUGUCUGACAGUGCAAGCAAGAGAAGAGUAUGGGGAGGCCAAUGCUCAAAUAUUUCCCCAUUCUCAGUAUUUACUCAGCAGCCCCUUGUACUGAGCCUCCAUUGACUCUCAGGCAGGGAUGUUGGGGGCUUCCAGCUCCAGCUGCUGUUACUCCUCCAAGUUUUCUGUGAUAUUGUAGCAGUAAAGAAAGCUGAAAUACAGCACUCGGCUCCUCCAGCCUUCUUUUCUAUGUGCAGGAAGCCUGUACAUCUCCUGGAUGAAAAUACACGGUGUAAAGAGGUUACUGCUGCAGAGAUGGGGAUGGCCACAUUACUCAUGUGUAGCCAAGUGCUGAAUCAUCUGGGUCACCUUAUGAGAUGUCAUCUGUACUUGUCAAACAGAUUUUACAGAAGGAAUAUUUCCAGGAUGUUUUAGGGAGCAUUAAUACCAUUUAUAUGUAUUGCUUCUUUUAUCCCUUUGCAUAAAAAGCCAGGUGAAUCUGGCUGCCCAGGACUUGCAAGGAGAGAAGAGUUACAGUUCAGACAUUUCAAAAAUCUCCAAAAUGCACCUGCAAUGGUCUUCUCAUCCAUCACCAUGCUGUCAUUCAAGCUUCAGCAUGCUGGGACUUCCCCACCCCUCGAGCAAGAGUUGAACAGGAGGGACAUGAACAAUUCUUCUAGAGGAACUUCAAUAGGUUCUCCUCUGCGCCAAUGCAUUACAGGGAAUCAUAAACUCAGGAAAAAUAACAGUAGUAAUAAAUUAGAAUCAUAGAAUGAUUAAUUCUACCUAAACAUCAAUCAAAGAGAUGGCCAAGAUCAGAAUUUGGUGCUUUCGUUAUUCAGCCUAUUCGUCCCAUGCCCAGUGCCCAGACUUUGUACCAACAGUGCUUUUCCUUCAGAAAAAUAAAUAAAUAAAUGAAUAAGUAAGCAAGCAGCCAAGUCGCUCUGCUGGCUGCCCUGUACUUUUAAGAA
Molecule: long non-coding RNA, 2077 nt
Organism: Tympanuchus pallidicinctus (lesser prairie-chicken)
Lineage: Eukaryota; Metazoa; Chordata; Aves; Galliformes; Phasianidae
Exons: 2
Source: RefSeq, a predicted model, not a curated record